GACAGAGGGUGCGAACGUUGUUCGGAAUUACUGGGCGUAAAGCGCGUGUAGGCGGCAAUGCAAGUCGGGCGUGAAAUCCCACGGCUCAACCGUGGAAGUGCACUCGAAACUGCAUAGCUAGAGUCCUGGAGAGGAAGGUGGAAUGCUUGGUGUAGAGGUGAAAUUCGUAGAUAUCAGGAGGAACACCGGUGGCGAAGGCGGGUCUCUGGGCAGUAACUGACGCUGAGGAGCGAAAGCGUGGGGAGCGAACAGG
Molecule: ribosomal RNA, 253 nt
Filed under: uncultured bacterium
Lineage: Bacteria
Description: partial 16S ribosomal RNA
Rfam family: Bacterial small subunit ribosomal RNA
Source: RNAcentral